GACGAACGCUGGCGGCGUGCUUAACACAUGCAAGUCGAACGAUGAAGCCGGAGCUUGCUCUGGUGAAUUAGUGGCGAACGGGUGAGUAACACGUGAGUAACCUGCCCUUGACUCUGGGAUAACUGCGGGAAACUGUAGCUAAUACCGGAUACGACCCUCGGAGGCAUCUCCUGGGGGUGGAAAGAAUUUCGGUCAAGGAUGGACUCGCGGCCACUCAGCUAGUUGGUGAGGUAAAGGCUCACCAAGGGGACGACGGGUAGCCGGCCUGAGAGGGUGACCGGCCACACGGGGACUGAGACACGGCCCAGACUCCUACGGGAGGCAGCAGUGGGGAAUAUUGCACAAUGGGCGCAAGCCUGAUGCAGCAACGCCGCGUGAGGGAUGACGGCCUUCGGGUUGUAAACCUCUUUUAGCAGGGAAGAAGCGAAAGUGACGGUACCUGCAGAAAAAGCACCGGCUAACUACGUGCCAGCAGCCGCGGUAA
Molecule: ribosomal RNA, 484 nt
Filed under: uncultured bacterium
Lineage: Bacteria
Description: partial 16S ribosomal RNA
Rfam family: Bacterial small subunit ribosomal RNA
Source: RNAcentral